GUGAGUUUAAAUGCCGUGGUAUUUACACAGGUAGAGAGGAGCAAGAGCACAGAGCAGAAAAAGUGGACCACGAAACCCAAGUGUGUGACCAUGGAUUUGAGUCAUGGAAGAGAGACAUUUUCAACUUUUAUUUUUAAUUAGUCCUUUUAAUUAGUAAUUAGUAUUUUUAAUUAGCUUGUAGUACAUAAUGAUUACAUUCCUCAUGGGGAGUUGGUAAAUGUACACAACACAGCUUAAUUCUGUUUUCAUUCCUGUCCCCUCCCUUUUGCAAAAGAUCUAUCUCUGUCUUUCCUAUCAUCUAUCUUUUAUUUUGUUCUUUGUCUAUUUAAUUUUAUACUUUUUUUUUUUUUUUUGGUACCAGGAAUCGAACUCUGGACCUUGCGCUUGCAAGGCAGGUGCCAGAACCACUGAGCUAAAUCCCCGGCCCUAUACUUUUAAAAUUUAAUUUAUUUGUACUUUGGGUUUUGGGUUUUAUUUAUACUUUGGGGUUCUCAUGUAAGAGGAACAGUAUAAUAUUUAAGCUUGUGUGCCUGAUUUAUUCCACUUAACAUUAUGGUCUCAAGGUGCAUCCAUUUUCCUCCAAAUGGCUCAAGUUUAUCCUUCUUUAUGCCCAGUAUUACUCUAUUAUGUAUAAAUACUACAUUUUCUUUAUCCAUUCAUUUGUUGCCAGACAUGUAGACCAUUUCCAAGAUUUAGCUAUUAUAAGCUGUGCUGCUAUAAACAUAGUAUCUUAGUUACUUUCUCAUUGCUGGGACACAAUACCUGACACCCACAAGUUAAAGGAGGAAAGGUUCAUUUUAGCUCACAGUUUGUAGAGAUUUCAGUCCACAGUUGGCCAGUUCCAAGAUAGAGCAACAUGGCAGAGAAGAAACAGUCCAUGGUGUGGCAGGCAGGAAGCAGCAAGGCUUUCUUCUUCCUUCCCUUUUUACUCCAUCCAGGCUAUAAUCCUAAUGGUUGGGACCAAAGACACCCAGGGUGGGUCUUCCCUCUUCAGUAAGUCCAUCAUCCACACCCAGAACUGUGUCAAACCAAUCAGUGAACUACGGCAAUAUCACACACCUAUGAUCCAGUCACUUCUAAAAGCACCACUUAUGAGCAUAUGAAGCAUUGGGAGGACAUCUACAUAUAAGCCACAGCACAUGAUGUUUAGAAACUACAGUGGGACACACAGAUACAACCUCUUCAUCUCUCUCCUUGAACCCAUGGCCUUUGCUUCUGCUUAAACUUUCUCAAGGUGCUUUUCAUAUCUUUCUGGGGAGCAUUCUUUAUCUGUUCAAAUGAGUGUCAACCAGGGUUCUUAAAUGUUGUGAAACCACCAGUGUCUCAUGGGCAAACAUAGGGAGACUAUUAGACAUAAUAUUUCUGACAUUCAGAAAGGAAAAACCGAUGAGGGUGAGAGGCUAUUACGCUUUCGAUGGAAAAACACAUAGCCAGCAUUUGGAUGGCUGAAUAUGCAAGAAGCCGGUGACUCCUGCCCUGGAUUCCCGGAGGAUGUUCAUAGCAGGUGAGGUGGUGGUUUGGUUCGACCCAGACUUGGCAGUCCAUCCAGUGGUGGGGUGAAUGUGAG
This is a long non-coding RNA of Heterocephalus glaber (naked mole-rat), 1567 nucleotides long. The record is from Ensembl. NCBI's taxonomy places the organism in Eukaryota, Metazoa, Chordata, Mammalia, Rodentia, Bathyergidae.